GACAGAGGGUGCAAACGUUGUUCGGAAUUACUGGGCGUAAAGCGUGUGUAGGCGGUCUUCUAAGUCGGGUGUGAAAUCCCUGGGCUCAACCCAGGAAGUGCACUCGAAACUGGAGGGCUAGAGUAUCGGAGAGGUUGGUGGAAUUCUCGGUGUAGAGGUGAAAUUCGUAGAUAUCGAGAGGAACACCGGUGGCGAAGGCGGCCAACUGGACGAAUACUGACGCUGAGACACGAAAGCGUGGGGAGCAAAC
RNAcentral lists this ribosomal RNA (250 nucleotides) under uncultured bacterium. Its description in RNAcentral is "partial 16S ribosomal RNA". It matches the Rfam family "Bacterial small subunit ribosomal RNA", at positions 524 to 773 of the family's 1533-position model. The record is from RNAcentral.